This 253-nucleotide ribosomal RNA is filed under the name uncultured bacterium. Its description in RNAcentral is "partial 16S ribosomal RNA". It matches the Rfam family "Bacterial small subunit ribosomal RNA", at positions 524 to 776 of the family's 1533-position model. The record is from RNAcentral.
UACGUAGGGUGCAAGCGUUACUCGGAAUUACUGGGCGUAAAGCGUGCGCAGGCGGUUGUGCAAGACCGAUGUGAAAUCCCCGGGCUUAACCUGGGAAUGGCAUUGGUGACUGCACGGCUAGAGUGUGUCAGAGGGGGGUAGAAUUCCACGUGUAGCAGUGAAAUGCGUAGAGAUGUGGAGGAAUACCGAUGGCGAAGGCAGCCCCCUGGGAUAACACUGACGCUCAUGCACGAAAGCGUGGGGAGCAAACAGG